CCUACGGGAGGCAGCAGUGGGGAAUAUUGCACAAUGGGGGAAACCCUGAUGCAGCAACGCCGCGUGAGUGAAGAAGUAUUUCGAUAUGUAAAGCUCUAUCAGCAGGGAAGAAGAUGACGGUACCUGAGUAAGAAGCCCCGGCUAACUACGUGCCAGCAUCCGCGGUAAUACGUAGGGGGCAAGCGGUAUCCGGAUUCAUUGGGUUUAAAGGGUGCGGAGGCGGGCCUUUAAGCCGGCGGUGAAAUCGCGGGGCUCAACCCCGCCGAGCCGUCGGAACGGGGGGCCUUGAGUGCGGCGGAGGCAUGCGGAAUGCGCGGGGUAGCGGUGAAAUGCAUAGAUAUCGCGCAGAACCCCGAUUGCGAAGGCAGCGUGCCGUGCCGCCACUGACGCUGAGGCACGAAAGCGCGGGGAUCGAACAGGAUUAGAUACCCUUGUAGUC
Molecule: ribosomal RNA, 439 nt
Filed under: uncultured bacterium
Lineage: Bacteria
Description: partial 16S ribosomal RNA
Rfam family: Bacterial small subunit ribosomal RNA
Source: RNAcentral